Molecule: long non-coding RNA, 1839 nt
Filed under: Bemisia tabaci
Lineage: Eukaryota; Metazoa; Arthropoda; Insecta; Hemiptera; Aleyrodidae
Description: lncRNA ENSASIAIIG010783
Source: RNAcentral
GAAGUUUUGCUUUUUUUGUUCCUUUUAACAAGUCAUUUUCCUUCUUUAUAGGCUGCCCUACUCCACCUCAAAGCAGAAGAAGGUUCUUCCUAAGUCCUAAAACUAUGAGGAGUCCUUUUGCUUUGCGAGGCAACAAAGUUCAAUCCGUAGAUAGCAAUGGUCUUUCAGAUGAAGAAGCAGGGUCCUUGAAGGGAUCAGAGAAAGAGCAAGAUCCAAAAAAGUCGAGCCAAAACGAUUUGUAUAUGCGUUUGGGACUGUUAUUGGGAGAGGGAGGGCCUACUCCGCUGCGUCCAUUUCGCAGUGGUCCUCAGGCUUCAAGCCGAGGUGGUGAUUCUGUCUGCUCGCUUACCAGCCUAGAAGCCAACACCCUUGCCUCAGACAACACGAGCCCAAUUUCAACGUUAACAGGCUCCUCAGAGGUGGAGGUCCACUCCCACAGCCAUGAAGAGAAGAAACAGCCUCUGACUGACAGUGUUGGAUCUCUGAUGUCAAUGUCCAGCCAUAGUUGCUCGUCCAGCCCUCUUGCCAGGAGGCACUCUAUCACGAGUAAGUAUCCUAUCUCUAGAGUGUGACUUGCAGUUGUGCAUGCAAAAUUAAGUGCGUGAGCAGUUUAAUUUUUCCUCUCAUCUUUUCUAUCCGUCAUACAGCAUUAAUGAUGUUUACUACUGUCAGACAUUAAUUCUCUUUAUUUUUCAGUUCUUUUCUUACUUCUUUUUUUGCUCUAUCUUCCUCCUCUCAUAGGAUGGAUUAAAAUCUGAAAUUAAAAGUGAUUAUCCUUGUACCAUUUCAGUACUUCAGUAGUGAAUACAAUCGAAUUUAUGCUAGGAAGAGUUCUUAAAUUCCUCCACCAAAAACGUGUGAUUCAGGGCAUUAAUAAUAAUUUUUCGGUGUUGAUAUCAUUGUCACCUGUGGCUUUACAUGCUUUGAUCACUCUUUAGUUUAUUUUGAAUGCAAUUUUCUCAUCAUCAGUUCUUUAUCUUUCUUUUCGGGGGGGGGGGGGGGGGCUACAACCUUUCCUUCAUUUGCUUUGAAUAAUUUCAAAACAUAGGUACAGUUUCUCAGUUAUGGUUCUCUCAAUUCUAGAAGCCAAUAUUUCAACUGCUUGUGGUCCCUUCAAUCCAAGUUAUUUCUUGCUUAAAUGAAAAUCUCUCUCAAGUUAGGAUCUGUUUCCACAGAUCAUGAUUAUAAUGAGGUCCAUAAUCAAUAAAAUAAUGGUUCUAAGGAAUGAAUGACAUGCAUUUUUUUUUAAUUUUACUACUGUUCGUGCAUGGAAUGAAAAAUUUAAAGUUUGCGAAGCAUGCUUUUAUUGGGUUUCUUCUCCCUUUUAAAUUAAAUUCCCCCAACCCCCAUCAUCAAUGAAGGAUUUAGUAUAGUUAUGGCAGUAGUUUGUCUACUAUCUAGGGUGGUUUUUAUUGUGUUAAUCUAAAUUUUAUUGAUUACAAAAAAAUGUAUAUAUUUGGUAAUAUUACAUUCUUCCAUUUCCUAAGUUUCCCAAACCAUUAUUGGACCUUUCUGUUCGUAAUUUUUUACUCUCCAAAGUGGAAAAAUAUUGUGCACCUGAAACAUCAAUGAAAAAUAUCGUAUUUCCUCUCCCCAGAGAAUUCAAGUAAAGCAAAUCUACCCAAAAAAAUAUAUCUCCUGAUACACAAGUUUGAUUUUGUCAACCCUCUUGCUCUUUUUGUAUAACAUUCUUCUCUUACCCUUUUCCUAAUCAUGAUUUCAGCAGUUAAUACUUCUAAUAUUGCUUUUUAAAUAAUUUUGCCUUUUGUGUGUGUGCAUGGUUAGAUUUACAGCGACAUGAUUACCAUGAAGAUCAGAAUGUGAACAGGUAUUCCAGGC